UGCCAGCACUCGGCGAGAGCCCGAGCGGCAGCGGCGCAGGGCUCAGCCCCGGGGCGGAGCUGGCGGCGGCCCAGAGGAGGCGGCCCGGCCGCAGCAGAGCCGGGGCUCAGGGCCACAGCGAGGCUCGGCCGGCGGAGCGGCGGCAUGCGGCGGUGUCGGGGCGCGGGGCUGGCGGCGCUGGCCGCGCUGCUGCUCGCGGCCGUGGCCAGAGCCCAGGUACAGCAGCAGCCGUCCCUGGAGACCACCGAGGGCACCGGCAUCAACAUCACCUGCUCACAUCCCCAAAUCCAGAGCAGCGAAUUGAUCUACUGGUACCGUCAGCUCCCUGGCCGAGGACCCGAACUCCUCGUGAGCAUUCACAAAGACUCCAAAGAGCUGCCGGAGAGUGCAGGAAAGCUGUCGGUGUCGGCAGAUCGGCGUUCGAGCGCGCUGUGGCUCGCUGGGCCCCGGCGCGGGGACGCGGCCGUGUAUUACUGCGCGCUGGGGGCCACGGCCAGAGGAGCCGGGGCUGCGGCCGGGCACGAACCGCCGCGGGCGGGGCCGGCCGGGGCCAGCAGGGGGCGCUGCCGCUUCGCCCGCCGGGGCCGCCUUUACCUCGCUCGGCCCGGGCUGCCGGGGCGCUGCCGGCACCGGAACCGACAAGAGCACCUCCUAUGGGACCAAGACCAAUACCAGCACCCACACCGGCACCGGUAACGGCAGCUCCAACUUGGAGUCACCGACCUCCCCCAGCCCUCUUCUCAGCACUUGCUUAUUGGGCGUUUGCCCCAACUGCCAGGUCUCCCUGGCACCAACCCCAUCCAAUCCCGAAGUCCUGUGAGCCUCUAAGUGGUUAAGCAAAUCUUUACUUCCUCCGCCUAGAUUACAGGGGUUCCAUGCUUGCCUUCCCUCUCUCCCAGAGCAGGAGGCCAGAUGUCAUGAUGAAAAUCAAUCCUACUCUUCAAAACUGAGGCAAAGAAGGUGCUAACCACCUCAGCCGUUCCAUUGUCUUUGGUGAGUGUAUUCCACUCGAAAGUGGACGGAGCACAGAAGAAAACAACUCUGCUGAGACAUUUGUCAUGUGGAUAAUUUUGUAAGAGAAAGAGGAAGGGAAGGGUCGUCA
Molecule: non-coding RNA, 1102 nt
Organism: Serinus canaria (Common canary)
Lineage: Eukaryota; Metazoa; Chordata; Aves; Passeriformes; Fringillidae
Source: the annotation of a RefSeq genome assembly